AGUAAUACAGUGAAGAGAACAAGUAAGACAGAGGGUAUCUUUCAGAGAGUAUUCGGUUGGUGUGAGAAUACAGAUAUUCUGUUCUGAAUACAUCUUGGAGUAGCUGCCUGAAAUAAUAGUAGGGUAUGACGGGAGCGCCCGAUAUAGCGUUAGGAUUUUAUCCUGCUGAGAAAGACCUAGUCUUUGAAGCAGAGGUGGUACCGCGAUAACUCGCCCUCUGU
RNAcentral lists this non-coding RNA (221 nucleotides) under Clostridium sp. RNAcentral's name for it is "T-box sequence". It matches the Rfam family "T-box leader". From Rfam's summary of the family: Uncharged tRNA acts as the effector for transcription antitermination of genes in the T-box leader family. Lineage: Bacteria; Bacillati; Bacillota; Clostridia; Eubacteriales; Clostridiaceae. The record is from RNAcentral.